GAAAUCUAUUUAGGUAGAGCGUCACGAUAAGACUCCUGGGGGUAGAGCACUGGAUGGACUAGGGGGCCUCACCGGCUUACCAAAUCUUACCAAACUCCGAAUACCAGGAAGUUAUGCGUGGCAGACACACGGCGGGUGCUAACGUCCGUCGUGAAGAGGGAAACAACCCUGACCACCGAUUAAGGUCCCCAAAUUAUAGCUAAGUGUGAAAGGAUGUGGGGUUGCUUUGACAAUGAGGAGGUUGGCUUAGAAGCAGCCA
This 259-nucleotide ribosomal RNA is filed under the name Chloropicon laureae. RNAcentral's name for it is "partial Bacterial large subunit ribosomal RNA". It matches the Rfam family "Bacterial large subunit ribosomal RNA", at positions 861 to 1118 of the family's 2925-position model. The record is from RNAcentral. Lineage: Eukaryota; Viridiplantae; Chlorophyta; Chloropicophyceae; Chloropicales; Chloropicaceae.